RNAcentral lists this ribosomal RNA (252 nucleotides) under uncultured bacterium. RNAcentral describes it as "partial 16S ribosomal RNA". It matches the Rfam family "Bacterial small subunit ribosomal RNA", at positions 524 to 776 of the family's 1533-position model. The record is from RNAcentral.
AACGUAGGUGGCAAGCGUUAUCCGGAAUUACUGGGCGUAAAGGGUGUGCAGGCGGGGAAGCAAGUGGGGUAUGAAAUCUCCCAGCUUAACUGGGAUAGGUUAUGCCAGACUGCUUUUCUAGAGGACGAGAGAGGGGGGUGAAUUCCGGGUGUAGUGGUGAAAUGCGUAGAGAUCCGGAGGAACCCCAGAGGCGAAGGCGGCCCCCUGGCUCGUACCUGACGCUCAGCCACGAAAGCAUGGGGAGCGAACGGG